This is a long non-coding RNA of Oncorhynchus kisutch (coho salmon), 367 nucleotides long. RefSeq lists it as uncharacterized. The record is from RefSeq and is a predicted model, not a curated record. Lineage: Eukaryota; Metazoa; Chordata; Actinopteri; Salmoniformes; Salmonidae. The transcript is spliced from 2 exons.
UUGGAGACAGGUGUGCUGGAGUCAGAGCAGAUCCCUACCAGCUGCAACUCAUUCCAUAAUCAAGACCUCUACAAAUACUUAGUCCUGCCACUUCCACUCUACCAGAUUGUAAUCUCUGCUCGUUACCGCUCUGUCUCUGGCUCCUGUCUCCUGUUCCACAUCUCACCACCCAACUACCUUGCACUGGAGUUUACUCACCACCACUUGGAUUCCCCUCAGGACCUGUUUACCCUGUUCUACUCAGCUAACUCCAACCUCAGUCUCCACAUCUGGUUUUCCUGCAACUCAUCCGAGCUUCCCUGGAUCUGCACUCCAUAUCUUCCUUUGUAACAAUAAAUAUGUUGGUUCAUUCAUCCCCGUUUCCUCA